RNAcentral lists this ribosomal RNA (401 nucleotides) under uncultured bacterium. RNAcentral's name for it is "bacterial SSU rRNA". It matches the Rfam family "Bacterial small subunit ribosomal RNA", at positions 357 to 774 of the family's 1533-position model. The record is from RNAcentral.
GGGAAUUUUCGUCAAUGGGCGCAAGCCUGAACGAGCGAUGCCGCGUGGGUGAAGGAGCGUUUCGGCGCGUAAAGCCCUAUCGGCAGGGAAGAAGGAGGACGGUACCUGACUAAGAAGCCCCGGCUAACUACGUGCCAGCAGCCGCGGUAAUACGUAGGGGGCAAGCGUUAUCCGGAUUUACUGGGUGUAAAGGGGGCGCAGACGGCAGCGCAAGCCAGGAGUGAAAGCCCGGGGCCCAACCCCGGGACUGCUCUUGGAACUGCGCGGCUGGAGUGCAGGAGGGGCAGGCGGAAUUCCUGGUGUAGCGGUGAAAUGCGUAGAUAUCAGGAGGAACACCGGUGGCGAAGGCGGCCUGCUGGACUGCGACUGACGUUGAGGCCCGAAAGCGUGGGGAGCAAACA